This 497-nucleotide ribosomal RNA is filed under the name uncultured bacterium. Its description in RNAcentral is "partial 16S ribosomal RNA". It matches the Rfam family "Bacterial small subunit ribosomal RNA", at positions 36 to 507 of the family's 1533-position model. The record is from RNAcentral.
UCUUCCCUCUGUCGGCGUGCCUAAUACAUGCAAGUCGAGCGACCAGACAAUGAGCUUGUUCCUCUGACGUUAGCGGCGGACGGGUGAGUAACACGUGGAUCACCUACUUAUAAUACGGGGAGAACUUCGGAAAAACGCAUCUAAUAACACAUCAUAUAUUGAACCGGAUUGUUCAGUAGUUAAUUACGCUUUUGCUGACUGUAUUAGCUGAAUCCGGGUGUAAUUGUUUAGUUGGUAAGGUAACGCCUUACCAAGGCAACGAAGCGUAGCCGACAUGAGAGGUUGAUCGGCCACACUGGAACUGAGACACGGUCCAGACUCCUACGGGAGGCAGCAGUAGGGAAUCUUCGGCAAUGGGCGAAAGCUUGACGGAGCAAUGCCGCGUGAGUGAUGAAGGUCUUCUGAUCGUAAAGCCCUGUUGUUAGGGAAGAACAAAUGUAGAAGUAAAUAUGGACGUCUUGACGGUACCUAAUCAGAAAGCAACGGCUAACUACGUG